CCGCGGUGAAUACGUUCCCGGGCCUUGUACACACCGCCCGUCAAGCCAUGGAAGCUGGGUGUACCUAAAGUCGGUAACCGCAAGGAGCCGCCUAGGGUAAAACUAGUAACUGGGGCU
RNAcentral lists this ribosomal RNA (117 nucleotides) under uncultured bacterium. Its description in RNAcentral is "partial 16S ribosomal RNA". It matches the Rfam family "Bacterial small subunit ribosomal RNA", at positions 1357 to 1482 of the family's 1533-position model. The record is from RNAcentral.